Molecule: ribosomal RNA, 506 nt
Filed under: uncultured bacterium
Lineage: Bacteria
Description: partial 16S ribosomal RNA
Rfam family: Bacterial small subunit ribosomal RNA
Source: RNAcentral
AGCGAACGCUGGCGGUAGGCCUAACACAUGCAAGUCGAACGGCAGCACAGAGGAGCUUGCUCCUUGGGUGGCGAGUGGCGGACGGGUGAGGAAUACAUCGGAAUCUACUCUGUCGUGGGGGAUAACGUAGGGAAACUUACGCUAAUACCGCAUACGACCUACGGGUGAAAGCAGGGGAUCUUCGGACCUUGCGCGAUUGAAUGAGCCGAUGUCGGAUUAGCUAGUUGGCGGGGUAAAGGCCCACCAAGGCGACGAUCCGUAGCUGGUCUGAGAGGAGGAUCAGCCACACUGGAACUGAGGCACGGUCCAGACUCCUACGGGAGGCAGCAGUGGGGAAUAUUGGACAAUGGGCGCAAGCCUGAUCCAGCCAUACCGCGUGGGUGAAGAAGGCCUUCGGGUUGUAAAGCCCUUUUGUUGGGAAAGAAAUCCAUCUGGUUAAUACCCGGGUGGGAUGACGGUACCCAAAGAAUAAGCACCGGCUAACUUCGUGCCAGCAGCCGCCGUAA